AUUGAACGCUGGCGGCAGGCUUAACACAUGCAAGUCGAGCGGGGUGAUGGUGCUUGCACUAUCACUUAGCGGCGGACGGGUGAGUAAUGCUUAGGAAUCUGCCUAUUAGUGGGGGACAACAUCUCGAAAGGGAUGCUAAUACCGCAUACGUCCUACGGGAGAAAGCAGGGGAUCACUUGUGACCUUGCGCUAAUAGAUGAGCCUAAGUCGGAUUAGCUAGUUGGUGGGGUAAAGGCCUACCAAGGCGACGAUCUGUAGCGGGUCUGAGAGGAUGAUCCGCCACACGGGGGCUGGGACACGGCCCAGACUCCUACGGGAGGAAGCAGUGGGGAAUAUUGGUCAAUGGGGGGAACCCUGAUCCAGCCAUGCCGCGUGUGUGAAGAAGGCCUUAUGGUUGUAAAGCACUUUAAGCGAGGAGGAGGUUCUUUUGGUUAAUACCCAAGAUGAGUGGACGUUACACGCAGAAUAAGCACCGGCUAACUCUGUGCCAGCCGCCGCAGUAA
This 503-nucleotide ribosomal RNA is filed under the name uncultured bacterium. Its description in RNAcentral is "partial 16S ribosomal RNA". It matches the Rfam family "Bacterial small subunit ribosomal RNA", at positions 30 to 523 of the family's 1533-position model. The record is from RNAcentral.